This 87-nucleotide transfer RNA is filed under the name Streptomyces kurssanovii. Its description in RNAcentral is "tRNA-Gly". Lineage: Bacteria; Bacillati; Actinomycetota; Actinomycetes; Kitasatosporales; Streptomycetaceae. The record is from RNAcentral.
GGGGCCGGGGUCCCCGCGGGGGACCCGGGGUUUCCGGGUCCGGGGGUCCGGGGGUCCGGGGGCCCGGGGUUCCGGCCCCCGGCCCCG